UUGAAGUCGAUGAUCCUUG
This 19-nucleotide non-coding RNA is filed under the name Rattus norvegicus (Norway rat). Lineage: Eukaryota; Metazoa; Chordata; Mammalia; Rodentia; Muridae. The record is from RNAcentral.